GAUGAACGCUGGCGGCGUGCCUAAUACAUGCAAGUCGAGCGAACAGACGAGGAGCUUGCUCCUCUGACGUUAGCGGCGGACGGGUGAGUAACACGUGGAUAACCUACCUAUAAGACUGGGAUAACUUCGGGAAACCGGAGAUAAUACCGGAUAACAUGUUGAACCGCAGGGUUCAACAGUGAAAGACGGUCUUGCUGUCACUUAUAGAUGGAUCCGCGCCGCAUUAGCUAGUUGGUAAGGUAACGGCUUACCAAGGCAACGAUGCGUAGCCGACCUGAGAGGGUGAUCGGCCACACUGGAACUGAGACACGGUCCAGACUCCUACGGGAGGCAGCAGUAGGGAAUCUUCCGCAAUGGGCGAAAUCCUGACGGAGCAACGCCGCGUGAGUGAAGAAGGUCUUCGGAUCGUAAAGCUCUGUUAUUAGGGAAGAACAAAUGUGUAAGUAACUAUGCACGUCUUGACGGUACCUAAUCAGAAAGCCACGGCUAACUUCGUG
RNAcentral lists this ribosomal RNA (497 nucleotides) under uncultured bacterium. RNAcentral describes it as "partial 16S ribosomal RNA". It matches the Rfam family "Bacterial small subunit ribosomal RNA", at positions 28 to 507 of the family's 1533-position model. The record is from RNAcentral.